AGCUCCAAUAGCGUAUAUUAAAGUUGUUGCAGUUAAAAAGCUUGUAGUUGGAUUUCUGGUCGGAGGGAUCGGUCCAGCACACUGUGUUGGAACUGGAUCCUCUCCGGUCAUCCUUGGGUGGAUCUUGUCUGGCAUUAAGUUGUCAGUCAGGGGAUGCCCAUCGUUUACUGUGAAAAAAUUAGAGUCUUCAAAGGAGGCUUAUGCCAUUGAAUAUAUUAGCAUGGAAUAAUAAGAUAGGGCCCUGGUGCUAUUUUGUUGGUUUGCGUACCGAGGUAAUGAUUACUAGGGACAGUUGGGGGUAUUUGUAUUCAGUAUUCAGUGGUGAAAUACUUAGACCUACGGAAGACAAACUACUGCGGAAGUAUUUACCAAGGAUGUUUUCA
RNAcentral lists this ribosomal RNA (383 nucleotides) under uncultured eukaryote. Its description in RNAcentral is "SSU rRNA". It matches the Rfam family "Eukaryotic small subunit ribosomal RNA", at positions 587 to 972 of the family's 1831-position model. The record is from RNAcentral.